UUUGUGCCUCUAAGCUGUAGGGUCUGCUUGUCUUCUUUCUGAGAUUUACACUUUAAUCUUUGAAGCAAUACUCACAUAAAUGGGCACUGAAUAUUUAGUAAAGCUUUCCAAAGAUUUACACUGUCAUCGUUCAAGCAAUGCUCACCAGAGUGGGGACAACGUUUAGUAAAGCUUCCCAAGUGUAGGCAAUUUGAUGUUUACUUAGUAAAAUCACCCCGGGUUACUGAAAUAAAAUGGUUCUCUCAUAAGGGCGCAAUGAUGAUUGAUUAAUUUUGGCUCUUUUUUUUAUUUACUUUAUUUAUUUAAUGUUAAUGCAUGCCGUUAGCUACAGCAUCACCAUUAUGCACACACUCUUCAAGACCCCCAUUAUUGUCCUCUCUGUGUGAAAUGCGUAGGGAAAGUACUUAUAGAACACGAAAUCCGAACUGUGACCUCGGUAUUUCGUGUCACUGGCCAGUGUUCAGUUACAUGAUGCUGUAAGGCCCCUUUCAGACGUAUCGACUUUACGCCGUCCGCCGUCCACGGCACGACGUCGUUCUCUCAAAUAACCAUGGAUGUCUAUGGACGCCUUCACACGUAUCGACCGACGCCGUGAACGACUUGGCGCCGUGGACGGCCGCCGUUGUCACAACGGCGCCCAUUUGGAAAUGGCACGGCGUUGCGCCGUCGACGGCGUGAAAUGUACACAGGUCUCUAUGGACUUGUUCAAACGUGUCGACGUUCCGCCGUCUGAAGUGGACGGCGCGAGUAGCGUGUCACACCACUUCAGUCGUUUCCUGACCACAGACGUGUUUAUAGUAUUGCUCACCAUUGAUAAUGGAAGACGUUGAUGUAGACGUUGAAUUGUUGAUUAGCCUGGUUGAAGAGAGGCCUGUUCUCUGGGACAAAAGCCUUGAAGCAUAUAAGUCCAAGACUGAAACCACUGCAGCAUGGAGGGAAGUCUGCAAUCAUCUGAACCCGGGCUUUGAGUCUAUGAGUGACGAUGCAAAGAACAUUUUUUGAUGGCAAAGUAGAGGACUCAACCUGUUUCUUUGCUCAUUCUGAAGUAGUUGAAAAACUUUUUUGUAUCUCUUCUGAGUUCCUCAUACAGUGUGACAAAAGCUCCAACCACUGGUCUGGCAACAUUGAUAUUAUGGACCCACUUUCUGCUGUGUGAAAGUUGUUUUUUUCUUUUUAAAUAUAAGUAAUAUAGGUAGAGCAGGUGGUCCUGUGUGUCCAUGAUGAAAGAAUGGAGGCAACUGGCAGGUGGACGGCACAGGCCGUGCCGUUGUGUCAACGGCGCCCGCCGUCGACACCACGGCGCUCUCUCUGGAAUGCACGGCGCUGGGUCCUAGACGGCGGACGGCGUAAAGUCGAUACGUCUGAAAGGGGCCUAAAGGGUCUUCGGGUCCUCUAGGCUCAGUUCCCUAACCUUGCUCUGUACAGUCGCUCUUCCUUCUUAUAAGCAGAAAUGCCGCCGAAGUCCCGAGCGGCUUCGAGACAAGGAAGAGAAGCCACGCGUCUCACUUCAGCCAGUCAGUCAGUGGUCAGUGGCGUCAGCUUUGUUGUAGUAUACACGCGAGUCUUCUGUGAUUUCUUGAACGCUUAUUCGGGCUUUAGGUGAACCAAAAUUCUCCCAGAGCCUGGUUACAGUGGUCAGCAGCUGUGACACAAGGAGCAGCUCUCUCAGCGACGGGGAGCGGUGGACUGCGGAUGAAUACCUCGGCUCCCGCGCCUUCUUCCGCAUCAUGUCCGACCCGCCGAUCCUGGUGGUGGGCGGCGUGCGUUAGAGGAGUUGAAAAAUGUGAGAGAAGACACAGUAUGUUGAGGGAAGGCAGCUGCACCAGUGACAGCAGCAGCAGAACAUUGAACAUUUAUUUAUAGCCAUUACAUACAUUGUAUAUUUAUAUUCCAUAAAUUUUUUAUUAUG
Scylla paramamosain (green mud crab) is the source of this 1909-nucleotide long non-coding RNA. RefSeq lists it as uncharacterized. The transcript has 4 exons. Lineage: Eukaryota; Metazoa; Arthropoda; Malacostraca; Decapoda; Portunidae. The record is from RefSeq and is a predicted model, not a curated record.